AAGAAAUCAAAGCUGCAUUUGCCAAAGGUGAAAUGUAAAAGAGCCUUCAGAAUUUUGUAAUUUUCACCAUGGCAUAAUCAUUUUUUCAUGAGACAAAGCCACAUAAAUCUCACUACUUUCUCGUCCCACAACUAGCAAAACAACUGUUUCAUGCUGAAUCUUUCGCUCCUGCAAGUUUUUCUAUUAAGCAGUGUCAUUAAAGACAUUUUAUGGAGGUGUGUUUAGAAACUUCAACUAAGUUUUCAUGUGGUUAAUUUGUUAUUUUAAUUUCUGAAAAAUAGAUAUGGCACAACUAAUUUUACGCCAUAAUAUACUGAGAUGAUAUUGCAGCC
This 332-nucleotide long non-coding RNA is filed under the name Olea europaea (common olive). RNAcentral describes it as "long non-coding RNA (OEUR_LNC014287)". The record is from RNAcentral. Lineage: Eukaryota; Viridiplantae; Streptophyta; Magnoliopsida; Lamiales; Oleaceae.